RNAcentral lists this long non-coding RNA (2087 nucleotides) under Heterocephalus glaber (naked mole-rat). RNAcentral describes it as "lncRNA (ENSHGLG00100043095.1)". The record is from RNAcentral. Lineage: Eukaryota; Metazoa; Chordata; Mammalia; Rodentia; Bathyergidae.
GAGAACCUGGAGAGCACAUUUCCAUUUGCCAGGCCAGUUUGCUCUUCCCAGUGUGGCCUGUGAACAGUGGGGACAUGAAGAAUGGUGCUCCUCCCACACUACCUUACUGACCACUCUGAUGUCUUGGAAACUCUUGGCAGCACCAGGGAAAGGACAGUAGAAGGACGUAAGUGCUGUCCCACAAUGCUCACAGACCUCUUCUGCCUGGCUGCCUCUUUAGCUCUGCUCCUUUACUCACUUCUGUCCUGCUUCACCACCUGUGCCUGUCUGCAUCUCUAUCUGUGCACAGUCACAUGCUGUGUAAGGAGAGGGAAAGUGUUGAGAAACACAGCACCACAUGAUCUUGUCAUUAUUUGAAUGUCACAGAGUUUAUGGACCAGACUAAGAAGGCUGGGAUGUCGCCAGGUCAUGAGACUCAUGGGACCAUUGAAACAUCUGUGUGCAUACGUUCACAUGUGUGUGCCCCACUAUGUAUGUGUGGGUGUAUACCUAUACAUCUAUGUGUAUGUGUGUGCAUGCACACGUAUACAUUUUAGCAACUCAUAGUGCUGAGUGGCAUGAGGCUGGUGGAAGCUACUUAUUUAAAUAAGUAGUCCAUGAGGCCCUCAGAGCAGGUGACCCCUAAACUGAUACCUGAGUGGGUGAACUAGGUGAAGAUCUGGACAGGGCAUCUUCUGGAUGAAGAGUCUGGCCCCAGACAGGGUGUCCCCAGGGUGGCUGAGUGGGGAGGUUGGAAACCAUGGCAGCCAGGAUGGUGCUGGAUGGGCCUUGCACUGGUCCAUCUCUGUCACUGGGGCAAAAUACCUGAAAUCAUAAAUUGAAGGAGGAGAGGAUUAUUUUGUCCCACGGUUUCAGAGGGUUCAGUGCAUGGGCAGCUGGCUUCAAGGCAGGAACAUCAAGGCCCAGGGGCCUAGCAGAGGAAAGCUGCUCACCUCAUGGUGGCCAGAGCAGACAGACAGCAAGAGAGAGCUGGAGAGAAGGGACCAGGACAAGAAUCCACCCUUCCAGGUCAUCCUGGAGUGACCUGCCUCCUCCAGCCAGACCCACCUCCUAGUGGCAUAUUCAGCCAUGAACUAGCCAGUGGAUUAAUCCACUGACCCACAGAUGAGUAGCGUGCCUAUGAGCCAACCACCUUCAGAAAAGCCCCGCCUCUGAACAUAGGAGCCUCCUGGGGACAUUGUGGCUCCAAACUGGAAGUAGCUCUCUCACCUCUUCCACCCCGAGAGAGGAGGCCUGGCCUCUGCUCCCCUCUAUGCUGCGGCAACCUUGGCCUGUCCUUGCUCCUUCCCCUCCUCCUGCUUUUCCUGGUGCCUUGCAAGCAGGCAGAGUAUUCUAUUAACUUGUUCUUAAAUGUCUCCCUAAGGUAUAAGGUACAUACAGAAAGGGUACAAGGAUGUAUGCAAGAUAGUGUUGGUGAUCCUGAGGAGAUGGCCCAGUCAGGGCCCAGCAGCCCCUUCUCCCUAGCAUAUCCACCUCCUUGGGGACUCAAGUGGUCCUCUUUUGAUUUAUGUGGGUUGGAGUCCCAGCACAAACUGCCUUUCCGCAGCAUUCUGUGCCAAUUGAUGGGAGACUCACUGAGCCCUCCUGUGUGAUAGUCAGUCUCAUGGGGGCAAGGCCUUCUGGGAGGGAACAUGCCACAGCCUAGUAAUUUAUUCUCCUAUUAAUGGGCACUUGGACAGCUUCCAGCUGUGAGAUGUUGUAAGUCAGCAGCUGUGACUGCUUUAGGACGUGCAAUUUGGAGAAUAUAUGCAUGUAUUUGUGCUGUACUUAUGCCCAGGAGUGGAAUUGCUCAUAGUAGAUUGAGGGAAUGUGAAGACCCCCUAAGCUAAGUGGUUUUCCAUGUUGAUUAGCUUAAAAAUCAUAUUUAUUCUUAUAGUAAUAGAAGUAAUGUUUAUUUAUUGUUGGGAAUUUGGAAGACAGAGUAAAAUAAAAUAAAACCACAUAUUAGUCUUUAGUUUUGUAACUGUAGAAUUGGGAUUAUGCUACAUAGAACCUUCAAUUUGCUAUGUUCACUUUAUGUUGUAGUAUUCCUAGUAUUAUUAAAUGCUUUUUUCCAUUGACAGCAUUUGGGUGUAUCAAAAUAAAUG